This is a long non-coding RNA of Stegodyphus dumicola, 253 nucleotides long. The record is from RefSeq and is a predicted model, not a curated record. Lineage: Eukaryota; Metazoa; Arthropoda; Arachnida; Araneae; Eresidae.
GGAUUAUUAAACAAGAAACUGCGAAAGACGCUUUCACAUAUAUUCUUCUUCUUUAAGAGGUAAAACUUCAGAUAAAUUCAUAGCACGGAUUUCAUUAUGAGGAAGACAUCGUCGAGAAGAGAGUCAUGUCUUCAAACCCCGAAGGGAAUGACAAUCAUACAUAGGAUGUGCCUGGGGGACGUACCACAUCGAUUUAGUUACGGUCUGCUAUGGAUCAACUUGUGCCUUAUCAUCUACAGCAUCUGGAUGGCUG